Molecule: RNA transcript, 2743 nt
Organism: Pan troglodytes (chimpanzee)
Lineage: Eukaryota; Metazoa; Chordata; Mammalia; Primates; Hominidae
Gene: P4HTM
Gene name: prolyl 4-hydroxylase, transmembrane
Exons: 9
Source: RefSeq, a predicted model, not a curated record
GCCUCCUCCGCGGUGCGCUCCCCACCCCCGCUCCUGAAGCAAGAAGAUGCAGACGAUACUUUUCCCGGAGGCAAGAGGGCGUCUUCACGCAGGCACCGAGAAGCUCCCACUAGUGUAUGCCUUAAUGGUGCCACUCUUGUCUGCGUCUACGCUUGGGGCCUUGGCUUCUGACUUGGAGAGUGUACAGCUCUGCCCGACGGCAACCCAGCUUGGGAAGAGAAGCCCCAGCGUGGGCUGGGGCUCAAGGCGCAGGAAGGCCGAGCCCGGCGCGGACACAGGCGGCUCCGGGCGGGCUCAGCACCCCCAGGCACCGUCUCCUAGUGACCGCGGCGCUCGCGGGCCUGGCGGCCGUUGUCCGGGCGACUGCGCAGCGCGGGCACCCCCGCGGCCCCUCCCCUGGGCGCGCGCGCGACCUGGGUGCCAUGGCGGCGGCGGCGGUGACAGGCCAGCGGCCUGAGACCGCGGCGGCCGAGGAGGCCUCGAGGCCGCAGUGGGCGCCGCCAGACCACUGCCAGGCUCAGGCGGCGGCCGGGCUGGGCGACGGCGAGGACGCACCGGUGCGUCCGCUGUGCAAGCCCCGCGGCAUCUGCUCGCGCGCCUACUUCCUGGUGCUGAUGGUGUUCGUGCACCUGUACCUGGGUAACGUGCUGGCGCUGCUGCUCUUCGUGCACUACAGCAACGGCGACGAAAGCAGCGAUCCCGGGCCCCAACACCGUGCCCAGGGCCCCGGGCCCGAGCCCACCUUAGGUCCCCUCACCCGGCUGGAGGGCAUCAAGGUGGGGCACGAGCGUAAGGUCCAGCUGGUCACCGACAGGGAUCACUUCAUCCGAACCCUCAGCCUCAAGCCGCUGCUCUUCGAAAUCCCCGGCUUCCUGACUGAUGAAGAGUGUCGGCUCAUCAUCCAUCUGGCGCAGAUGAAGGGGUUACAGCGCAGCCAGAUCCUGCCUACUGAAGAGUAUGAAGAGGCAAUGAGCACUAUGCAGGUCAGCCAGCUGGACCUCUUCCGGCUGCUGGACCAGAACCGUGAUGGGCACCUGCAGCUCCGUGAGGUUCUGGCCCAGACUCGCCUGGGAAAUGGAUGGUGGAUGACUCCAGAGAGCAUUCAGGAGAUGUACGCCGCGAUCAAGGCUGACCCUGAUGGUGACGGAGUGCUGAGUCUGCAGGAGUUCUCCAACAUGGACCUUCGGGACUUCCACAAGUACAUGAGGAGCCACAAGGCAGAGUCCAGUGAGCUGGUGCGGAACAGCCACCAUACCUGGCUCUACCAGGGUGAGGGUGCCCACCACGUCAUGCGUGCCAUCCGCCAGAGGGUGCUGCGCCUCACUCGCCUGUCGCCUGAGAUCGUGGAGCUCAGCGAGCCGCUGCAGGUUGUUCGAUAUGGUGAGGGGGGCCACUACCAUGCCCACGUGGACAGUGGGCCUGUGUACCCAGAGACCAUCUGCUCCCAUACCAAGCUGGUAGCCAACGAGUCUGUACCCUUCGAGACCUCCUGCCGGCAAGUAUCUCCCAACUGGGGGCUGCCUUCAAACCUCAGACCAGGAACACCCAUGACACAGGCGCAGCCCUGCACUGUGGGCGUGCCCCUUGGCAUGGGGCCAGGAGAUCACUGGGUUAUCCCGGUUAGUGAUGCCCUCACCUCUCCCCACAAGUUGUUUACCCAAUGGCUGGAAAGGGGUGGCCACUGGCCAUCGUGACCACUGGAGUCAACACAGACUGAAGUACCCACAGACACCAAAACUUGCCCCCGGAGUUCUGAAGCAAGGGGCAAGGCUGGGCCCCUAGCUUGUCCUGCCCAUUCCUCCAGGUGUUGAUCUUGAUUCCACUUAGAGAAGCUGAAGCUGUGCCUCCCUCCCCUGUCAAGGCAGUUCUUUCCUCUUCAGGUGGCUGUUCUGGCCCAGCCCCUUCCCAUCCCCAAGGAGUCCUUCAGCGCGCCCUGUUGCUUCUGCUAGCCUACCUUUCCCUGCCAGGCCCUUGCUCGGGGCCAUGGCAUUUAACUGAGUGCACCUGUGAUCUUGGCCAAAAAACCAUUGCAACUCACAGUAAGCCCCUGGGAGCAUCCACAACUGGGGACCUGCUCAGUGGCCCCCCUGCCUUACAGCUACAUGACAGUGCUGUUUUAUUUGAACAACGUCACUGGUGGGGGCGAGACUGUUUUCCCUGUAGCAGAUAACAGAACCUACGAUGAAAUGAGUCUGAUUCAGGAUGACGUGGACCUCCGUGACACACGGAGGCACUGUGACAAGGGAAACCUGCGUGUCAAGCCCCGACAGGGCACAGCAGUCUUCUGGUACAACUACCUGCCUGAUGGGCAAGGUUGGGUGGGUGACGUAGACGACUACUCGCUGCACGGGGGCUGCCUGGUCACGCGCGGCACCAAGUGGAUUGCCAACAACUGGAUUAAUGUGGACCCCAGCCGAGCGCGGCAAGCGCUGUUCCAACAGGAGAUGGCCCGCCUUGCCAGAGAAGGGGGCACCGACUCACAGCCCGAGUGGGCUCUGGACCGGGCCUACCGCGAUGCGCGCGUGGAACUCUGAGGGAAGAGUUAGCCCCGGUUCCCAGCCGCGGGUCGCCAGUUGCCCAAGAUCGGGGGUCCGGCUGUCCUUCUGUCCUGUUGCAGACUAAAGGUCUGGCCAAUGUCUUGCCCCACCCCGCCAGCCGCGAUACGGCGCAGUUCCUAUAUUCAUGUUAUUUAUUGUGUACUGACCCCAUCUGCCCCGUCAAAUAAAAAAACCACAAGGUUCGA